RNAcentral lists this transfer RNA (66 nucleotides) under Rhinebothrium sp. 1. Its description in RNAcentral is "tRNA-Trp". The record is from RNAcentral. Lineage: Eukaryota; Metazoa; Platyhelminthes; Cestoda; Rhinebothriidea; Rhinebothriidae.
AUGUUGUUAAGUUAUAAAGACUAUAUGUUUUCAAAACAUAAAGAAACGGUUAUUAGUUACAUCAUG